This 405-nucleotide ribosomal RNA is filed under the name uncultured bacterium. RNAcentral describes it as "bacterial SSU rRNA". It matches the Rfam family "Bacterial small subunit ribosomal RNA", at positions 355 to 776 of the family's 1533-position model. The record is from RNAcentral.
UAGGGAAUCUUGCGCAAUGGGCGAAAGCCUGACGCAGCCACGCCGCGUGAGGGAUGAAGGCUCUCGGGUUGUAAACCUCUUUCAGCAGGGACGAAAAUGACGGUACCUGCAGAAGAAGCUCCGGCCAACUACGUGCCAGCAGCCGCGGUAACACGUAGGGAGCAAGCGUUGUCCGGAAUUAUUGGGCGUAAAGAGCUCGUAGGCGGUUUAGUAAGUCAGGUGUGAAAACUCGAGGCUCAACCUCGAGAGGCCACCUGAUACUGCUGUGACUGGAGUCCGGUAGAGGAGUGUGGAAUUCCUGGUGUAGCGGUGAAAUGCGCAGAUAUCAGGAGGAACACCAACAGCGAAGGCAGCACUCUGGGCCGGUACUGACGCUGAGGAGCGAAAGCGUGGGGAGCGAACAGG